Molecule: small nuclear RNA, 18 nt
Filed under: Arabidopsis thaliana (thale cress)
Lineage: Eukaryota; Viridiplantae; Streptophyta; Magnoliopsida; Brassicales; Brassicaceae
Description: snRNA_15232
Source: RNAcentral
UGGAGACGUCGCUGCCGU